GACGAACGCUGGCGGCGUGCUUAACACAUGCAAGUCGAACGGAAAGGCCCUGCUUUUGUGGGGUGCUCGAGUGGCGAACGGGUGAGUAACACGUGAGUAACCUGCCCUUGACUUUGGGAUAACUUCAGGAAACUGGGGCUAAUACCGGAUAGGAGCUCCUGCUGCAUGGUGGGGGUUGGAAAGUUUCGGCGGUUGGGGAUGGACUCGCGGCUUAUCAGCUUGUUGGUGGGGUAGUGGCUUACCAAGGCUUUGACGGGUAGCCGGCCUGAGAGGGUGACCGGCGACAUUGGGACUACGGGACGGCCCAGACUCGUACGGGAGGCAGCAGUGGGGAAUAUUGCACAGUGGGCGGAAGCCUGAUGCAGCAACGCCGCGUGCGGGAUGACGGCCUUCGGGGUGUAAACCGCUUUCGCCUGUGACGAAGCGUGAGUGACGGUAAUGGGUAAAGAAGCACCGGCUAACUACGUG
Molecule: ribosomal RNA, 468 nt
Filed under: uncultured bacterium
Lineage: Bacteria
Description: partial 16S ribosomal RNA
Rfam family: Bacterial small subunit ribosomal RNA
Source: RNAcentral